UUUUUUUGAGAAGCACUUUGAGAAAAAUACACUUAGAAGCAGUUUUUUACAGCUUGGCCAAACACUAAUUGCUGCUCGGAAGUACUUUUCAAUCUAAGUAACCAAACACAAACUGCUUUUCACCAAAAUUACUUUUGACAAAAAGCACUUCUCAAAAUAAGUUUGAUUUUUGCAGCUUGGCCAAACGGGCUAGCAGAGAUGUUGACAAAUAUAAUCAACCAAUCAAUCAACUACC
This 235-nucleotide long non-coding RNA is filed under the name Nicotiana benthamiana. RNAcentral's name for it is "long non-coding RNA (NBEN_LNC000990)". Lineage: Eukaryota; Viridiplantae; Streptophyta; Magnoliopsida; Solanales; Solanaceae. The record is from RNAcentral.